Molecule: ribosomal RNA, 474 nt
Filed under: uncultured bacterium
Lineage: Bacteria
Description: bacterial SSU rRNA
Rfam family: Bacterial small subunit ribosomal RNA
Source: RNAcentral
GGACGAACGCUGGCGGCGUGCCUAACACAUGCAAGUCGAGCGAGGAGAUCCUUCGGGAUGAUCCUAGCGGCGGACGGGUGAGUAACACGUGGGCAACCUGCCUCAUAGAGAGGAAUAGCCUUCCGAAAGGGAGAUUAAUACCUCAUAACAUUGCAGUUUCGCAUGAAACAGCAAUUAAAGGAGCAAUCCGCUAUGAGAUGGGCCCGCGGCGCAUUAGCUAGUUGGUGAGGUAACGGCUCACCAAGGCGACGAUGCGUAGCCGACCUGAGAGGGUGAUCGGCCACAUUGGGACUGAGACACGGCCCAGACUCCUACGGGAGGCAGCAGUGGGGAAUAUUGCACAAUGGGGGAAACCCUGAUGCAGCCAACGCCGCGUGAGUGAUGACGGCCUUCGGGUUGUAAAGCUCUGUCUUCAGGGACGAUAAUGACGGUACCUGAGGAGGAAGCCACGGCUAACUACGUGCCAGCAGCAGC